AAUGGAGCUGAAGGUAGUGAGUUAUCUCAAUUGAUUUUUCACAGUUACAGAUCGAACUCCUUGUUCUACUCCUUCCCUCCUUCUGACUGUGCACUUGACUGGUCUUAA
Molecule: non-coding RNA, 108 nt
Filed under: Saimiri boliviensis boliviensis (Bolivian squirrel monkey)
Lineage: Eukaryota; Metazoa; Chordata; Mammalia; Primates; Cebidae
Source: RNAcentral